Molecule: ribosomal RNA, 497 nt
Filed under: uncultured bacterium
Lineage: Bacteria
Description: partial 16S ribosomal RNA
Rfam family: Bacterial small subunit ribosomal RNA
Source: RNAcentral
GAUGAACGCUGGCGGCGUGCCUAAUACAUGCAAGUCGAGCGAACGGACGGGAAGCUUGCUUCUCUGAUGUUAGCGGCGGACGGGUGAGUAACACGUGGAUAACCUACCUAUAAGACUGGGAUAACUUCGGGAAACCGUAGCUAAUACCGGAUAAUAUUUUGAACCGCAUGGUUCAAAAGUGAAAGACGGUCUUGCUGUCACUUAUAGAUGGAUCCGCGCUGCAUUAGCUAGUUGGUAAGGUAACGGCUUACCAAGGCAACGAUGCAUAGCCGACCUGAGAGGGUGAUCGGCCACACGGGAACUGAGACACGGUCCAGACUCCUACGGGAGGCAGCAGUAGGGAAUCUUCCGCAAUGGGCGAAAGCCUGACGGAGCAACGCCGCGUGAGUGAUGAAGGUCUUCGGAUCGUAAAACUCUGUUAUUAGGGAAGAACAUAUGUGUAAGUAACUGUGCACAUCUUGACGGUACCUAAUCAGAAAGCCACGGCUAACUACGUG